CCUACGGGGGGCUGUAGUGGGGAAUAUUGGACAAUGGGGGGAACCCUGAUCCAGCCAUGCCGCGUGUGUGAAGAAGGCCCUCGGGUUGUAAAGCACUUUCAGUGAGGAAGAACGCCUGGUGGUUAAUACCCAUCAGGAAAGACAUCACUCACAGAAGAAGCACCGGCUAACUCCGUGCCAGCAGCCGCGGUAAUACGGAGGGUGCGAGCGUUAAUCGGAAUUACUGGGCGUAAAGCGCGCGUAGGUGGCUUGAUAAGCCGGUUGUGAAAGCCCCGGGCUCAACCUGGGAACGGCAUCCGGAACUGUCAAGCUAGAGUGCAGGAGAGGAAGGUAGAAUUCCCGGUGUAGCGGUGAAAUGCGUAGAGAUCGGGAGGAAUACCAGUGGCGAAGGCGGCCUUCUGGACUGACACUGACACUGAGGUGCGAAAGCGUGGGUAGCAAACAGGAUUAGAUACCCGAGUAGUC
This 465-nucleotide ribosomal RNA is filed under the name Vreelandella stevensii. Its description in RNAcentral is "partial 16S ribosomal RNA". It matches the Rfam family "Bacterial small subunit ribosomal RNA", at positions 338 to 795 of the family's 1533-position model. The record is from RNAcentral. Lineage: Bacteria; Pseudomonadati; Pseudomonadota; Gammaproteobacteria; Oceanospirillales; Halomonadaceae.